GACGAACGCUGGCGGCGUGCUUAACACAUGCAAGUCGAACGGAAAGGCCCUGCUUUUGUGGGGUGCUCGAGUGGCGAACGGGUGAGUAACACGUGAGUAACCUGCCCUUGACUUUGGUAUAACUUCAGGAAACUGGGUCUAAUACCGGAUAGGAGCUCCUGCUGCAUGGUGGGGGUUGGAAAGUUUCGGCGGUUGGGGAUGGACUCGCGGCUUAUCAGCUUGUUGGUGGGGUAGUGGCUUACCAAGGCUUUGACGGGUAGCCGGCCUGAGAGGGUGACCGGCCACAUUGGGACUGAGAUAGGGCCCAGACUCCUACGGGAGGCAGAAGUGGGGAAUAUUGCACAAUGGGCGGAAGCCUGAUGCAGCAACGCCGCGUGCGGGAUGACGGCCUUCGGGUUGUAAACCGCUUUCGCCUGUGACGAAGCGUGAGUGACGGUAAUGGGUAAAGAAGCACCGGCUAACUACGUG
Molecule: ribosomal RNA, 468 nt
Filed under: uncultured bacterium
Lineage: Bacteria
Description: partial 16S ribosomal RNA
Rfam family: Bacterial small subunit ribosomal RNA
Source: RNAcentral